Molecule: transfer RNA, 100 nt
Filed under: Rhexocercosporidium sp. MPI-PUGE-AT-0058
Lineage: Eukaryota; Fungi; Ascomycota; Leotiomycetes; Helotiales
Rfam family: tRNA
About the family: Transfer RNA (tRNA) molecules are approximately 80 nucleotides in length. Their secondary structure includes four short double-helical elements and three loops (D, anti-codon, and T loops). Further hydrogen bonds mediate the characteristic L-shaped molecular structure. tRNAs have two regions of fundamental functional importance: the anti-codon, which is responsible for specific mRNA codon recognition, and the 3' end, to which the tRNAs corresponding amino acid is attached (by aminoacyl-tRNA synthetases). tRNAs cope with the degeneracy of the genetic code in two manners: having more than one tRNA (with a specific anti-codon) for a particular amino acid; and 'wobble' base-pairing, i.e. permitting non-standard base-pairing at the 3rd anti-codon position.
Source: Rfam by way of RNAcentral
UCCGGAAUGGUGUAGUGGUUAGCAUUUCUGCCUCUCAUGAACUGUCCAACCAACAGUUGAGUGUUCGCAGGAGACCGGGGUUCAAUUCCCCGUUCCGGAA